RNAcentral lists this ribosomal RNA (1305 nucleotides) under Paenarthrobacter sp. RNAcentral's name for it is "bacterial SSU rRNA". It matches the Rfam family "Bacterial small subunit ribosomal RNA", at positions 93 to 1409 of the family's 1533-position model. Lineage: Bacteria; Bacillati; Actinomycetota; Actinomycetes; Micrococcales; Micrococcaceae. The record is from RNAcentral.
UAGUGGCGAACGGGUGAGUAACACGUGAGUAACCUGCCCUUGACUCUGGGAUAAGCCUGGGAAACUGGGUCUAAUACCGGAUACGACCAUCUGACGCAUGUCAUGGUGGUGGAAAGCUUUUGUGGUUUUGGAUGGACUCGCGGCCUAUCAGCUUGUUGGUGGGGUAAUGGCCUACCAAGGCGACGACGGGUAGCCGGCCUGAGAGGGUGACCGGCCACACUGGGACUGAGACACGGCCCAGACUCCUACGGGAGGCAGCAGUGGGGAAUAUUGCACAAUGGGCGCAAGCCUGAUGCAGCGACGCCGCGUGAGGGAUGACGGCCUUCGGGUUGUAAACCUCUUUCAGUAGGGAAGAAGCGAAAGUGACGGUACCUGCAGAAGAAGCGCCGGCUAACUACGUGCCAGCAGCCGCGGUAAUACGUAGGGCGCAAGCGUUAUCCGGAAUUAUUGGGCGUAAAGAGCUCGUAGGCGGUUUGUCGCGUCUGCUGUGAAAGACCGGGGCUCAACUCCGGUUCUGCAGUGGGUACGGGCAGACUAGAGUGCAGUAGGGGAGACUGGAAUUCCUGGUGUAGCGGUGAAAUGCGCAGAUAUCAGGAGGAACACCGAUGGCGAAGGCAGGUCUCUGGGCUGUAACUGACGCUGAGGAGCGAAAGCAUGGGGAGCGAACAGGAUUAGAUACCCUGGUAGUCCAUGCCGUAAACGUUGGGCACUAGGUGUGGGGGACAUUCCACGUUUUCCGCGCCGUAGCUAACGCAUUAAGUGCCCCGCCUGGGGAGUACGGCCGCAAGGCUAAAACUCAAAGGAAUUGACGGGGGCCCGCACAAGCGGCGGAGCAUGCGGAUUAAUUCGAUGCAACGCGAAGAACCUUACCAAGGCUUGACAUGAACCGGAAAGACCUGGAAACAGGUGCCCCGCUUGCGGUCGGUUUACAGGUGGUGCAUGGUUGUCGUCAGCUCGUGUCGUGAGAUGUUGGGUUAAGUCCCGCAACGAGCGCAACCCUCGUUCUAUGUUGCCAGCGCGUUAUGGCGGGGACUCAUAGGAGACUGCCGGGGUCAACUCGGAGGAAGGUGGGGACGACGUCAAAUCAUCAUGCCCCUUAUGUCUUGGGCUUCACGCAUGCUACAAUGGCCGGUACAAAGGGUUGCGAUACUGUGAGGUGGAGCUAAUCCCAAAAAGCCGGUCUCAGUUCGGAUUGGGGUCUGCAACUCGACCCCAUGAAGUCGGAGUCGCUAGUAAUCGCAGAUCAGCAACGCUGCGGUGAAUACGUUCCCGGGCCUUGUACACACCGCCCGUCAAGUCACGAAA